Molecule: ribosomal RNA, 253 nt
Filed under: uncultured bacterium
Lineage: Bacteria
Description: partial 16S ribosomal RNA
Rfam family: Bacterial small subunit ribosomal RNA
Source: RNAcentral
GACAGAGGGUGCAAACGUUGUUCGGAAUUACUGGGCGUAAAGCGUGCGCAGGCGGUUUUGUAAGUCUGUCGUGAAAUCCCCGGGCUCAACCUGGGAAUGGCGAUGGAGACUGCAAGGCUAGAGUUUGGCAGAGGGGGGUAGAAUUCCACGUGUAGCAGUGAAAUGCGUAGAGAUGUGGAGGAACACCGAUGGCGAAGGCAGCCCCCUGGGUCAAAACUGACGCUCAUGCACGAAAGCGUGGGGAGCAAACAGG